UUCUGGCUGUCUCUAAUAAAUGAAUAAAUAUAAUAAAUUUUUUUUAAGAAUUUCUUUUUUAAAAAAAAGUGCCUUCCCAGGUGAAGUUACUAUUAAAAUUUGGUAUAGGACCAAAUAAUUUUUCUGGAUUUUUAUGCUGCUCUUUUCUUAAUUUUAAGAACAGAAUAAAAUUUGGAAAUAGAAUGUUAUUCCAUUAGUAGUGUAAAUGUAAUAGGACACCUGAAUUGACGGCAUCUGCCGUUCAAAUAUCUGAUGACCGUCUAAAUGCAUUUUGAUCACAGUUGUCAGUGGCUGAAAUUUUUAAAUCAAGUACAUUACUUUCUCAAAAUGUUUGACACAUUAAGCUGCCAAAAAUGACUAUCUUGCUGCCAAUUAGCCAGUUAAUUUCUGAUGAUUUUAUAUGGGAGGGAGAGAGGGUGUGUGUGUUAGAAUGUGUACCCAUUCUGUACCUUGUAUUUUGAGCACCUAUAAAACGUAACUUUUGGUGUAUUUUGAUUACUUAAUAUAAGUUUGCAUAUCUGAAUCCUAAAAGUAGCCAUGUUUGAAAAGUUCCUAUGCUUAUUUUGUUAUUUUGGGUUUGGGGUAUUUAUAUAGUGAAGUAACUUGUAAGAGAUGUAUAGAGACAGCAGAUAGAAGCUGUUCCAACGCCGAAACGUUUGGUGCUUCAUGCUGCACUUGUUUCUUACUGGACUUCUUAUGGUUGUUUUGUUUGGGUUGUUUUGUUUUGUUUUAUUUUUGCUUGAAUUUGUUUUUAGGAAAAAGGACAUUUGAAUUUUCAAGCAUAAAACUUUACAUUGGAAAAUAUAGCUAUUCAAAUGGUUAGCAAAAGACAUUUUGCCAACAAAGCUAAGUAAAACUGUAAAAUACCUCCAGAUAUUUGUGCCAGUGAACUUUGUUAGGAUGUUGAGAAUAAAGCUAACAUAAUCCUUCGGUAUUUUUUUUCUAGGACUUUAGUUAUAUAACACAUUAAAACUUAUGCCCCAUACCUUAAUCUUUCUUUGAAAAUACAUAAGCUUACACUGCUCACUAGUCUCAUUUCUGCAACGGUAUUCUCUGGUCGUACCGGAUAAAAGUGUAGUCAGUAAUUGCCAGCAGUGGUGAUAUUAGUAAGUAAGGUUGUCUUGCUUCAGAUUCAUUCUUUGACUUAAAACUAAAUUGCUUUUCACUCCUAUUGUCUUAGCACACGUGCCUGUGGUUUAUGUGACUGGAAGGUUGCUGUGGAGUUGCUUCUGUUCUCUGCAUGCUUCCACUCACCCCCUUAAGAAAGUCUUGUGGUUCAGUGUCACUGCUUCUCUUCCCAGAAAUGUUGAUGCAGUUUCGCACCAGCAAACCGCCCAGUAAAGAGGCCGUAGGGAGCCGGUCACUAAACCGCUUGGCCUUGACUGAAUAAUAAUUACCCUACUUUCUGGUGGGAGCUGUAGAUGAUCUUAGUAAAAAGGUGGUGUAUAAAACCUGAAAAGUCAGUAGACUUUUUGUUUUGGAGUGAGUUUGUCCUUUGUGUUGAAUAGCUUUUAUGCUAAGUUGAGCAAUUCUGUAUUUAAUAUAAUCAUGCUUUCUACAUAAACAUGCUUCUGUUGGAAUACUGAUAGAAAAAAACCUUUUUCUCCACUGAGGAGAGAGGAAAAACUUCAAACUUGAGUGUGCUGUGUACUUACAUUUUUUAAAAAAGUAUAAGAGUGUGUUACUCUGAAGUGAUUGUAUUGUAGUUUCUAAAAUUUGUGACUGACUGUAAAUGUAUCAGUGUACCCGUGAGAAACCAGACCAAAAUUUAAUUCAUCUUUCCACUGUGACCUUGAACUUAGUCAUUUGUAAUGAUACAGAUUGUGCCUUAAAUGUUGAAGGAAGGCCCUGCAACUUGUAAGUCUAUAUAUGAUCAUGAAAUCAGCCCCAAACCUUUCGUUUGAAGUCUUCAGAGACUUAAGAGUUGGCCGGCAUUUCAUUUACUGUUUGCAGAACUGUUGUUCUAGAGACCUCCUUUACUUUCUAGCCUUCCCAUUUAAAAUCCAAGUUGAUGUAGGCUUCAAACACUUAGAAAAUUUAAGUUCAGGGGCCAAGCGUUGGUGCACCUGGUUAAGUGCACACAGUACAGUGAGCAAGGACCCAGGUUCAAGCCCCUGGUCCCCACCUAGAUGGGGGAAGCUUCACGAGUGGUGAAGCAGGGCUGCAGGUAUCUCUCUCUCCCUCCCUCCCUCCCUCUCUCUCUCUCUCUCUCUCUCUCUCUCCCCUCUUUCUCCUCACCCCCUCUCAAUUUCUAUCCAAAAUAAAUAAAUUUAUUAAAUAAAUAAAAUGUGCUAUAUAUAAAUAUAAAAUAAAAACUAAGUUCAAGUAGAGCUGAAAAUAAAUUCAUUUUAGUAGAGGAUGGUAGCACUUCUUCAGAGCUGAUUACAGAUGGAAAAAUUAAUCUUCAAGUGUAAUUUUUUUUUGUUUUCCCUUGGAAAAUUAGGCUUUUAUUUAAAUAAAAUAACCUCAAUGUACUCAAUAAUUAUUUCUCAGUAAUAAUUAUUUCUCAGUACUAAUUAUUUCUCAGUAAGACAAGAAUUGGUUUUGUGGAAAAUGUAUAGUAAGAAUACAUGCCUUGGGGGUCUGGUGGUGGCACACCGGGUUAUGCGCACAUAGUACAAAGCACAAGGACCCAAGCAAGGAUCCUGGCUGGAGCCCCUGGCUCCCCACCUGUAGAGGGGUCGCUUCCCAAGUGGUGAUGCAGGUCUGCAGGUAUCUUUCUCUCUCCCUGUCUGUUCCCCCCUCCCCUCUCAAUUUCUAUCUGUCCUGUCCACUAAAAUGGGGGAAAAUGACCACCAGCAGCAGUAGAUUCAUAGUGCAGGCACUGAGCCCGUGAUAAUCCUGGAGGCAGAGAAAAAAAAAAAUGCCUUUCCUUAAAACAUAGUCAAACUGAAAUGCUGGCCAGCAUCACUAUGUAGUAAAAUAUAUACCUGUCACCCCUAUCAGAUCUUAUAUGAUAAUUACAAGUUUAUAGGGGACAAGUCUUGUGUUUUCACAUAGAUUCAAUAAUCAUUUAUUUUCAAAAUGACUAUUUCCCCUGCAGAAAACAGUGUGUAGAAACAAUAUUUAAGGACACAAAGGAACUUGUCCUGCAGUUAUGCGAAAAACAGUUGCAGAUCUUUCCAUUUAAGCAUGCAUGAUCUCCUGCACUCGUUCAGUGUGAGGUACUAUAAAUGCACUUAGUGGAAGUGUGUGUAUUUUUGUAUGGUAUGACUACAUUUUAACUUGUAAUUCACAAAAAGUGCUAUUUACUGUGCUCUGUGGAGUGUGGUGACUAUUUUUAACCUGUGUUUCGACAUUAUGGUUCAACAAGUGGAUUUUUGCCUUCAGUCUCUGCUCAGGUAUUAAUGUGUGGCAAACUUUGGUGCUUUGUAAUUGUCAUAAUCUGGUGUUUCGAGUGCACAACAAUAAAUCUGAUGAACAAGAA
This is a long non-coding RNA of Erinaceus europaeus (western European hedgehog), 3427 nucleotides long. RefSeq lists it as uncharacterized. Lineage: Eukaryota; Metazoa; Chordata; Mammalia; Eulipotyphla; Erinaceidae. The record is from RefSeq and is a predicted model, not a curated record. The transcript is spliced from 2 exons.